This 207-nucleotide ribosomal RNA is filed under the name Triticum aestivum (bread wheat). RNAcentral's name for it is "partial small subunit ribosomal RNA". Lineage: Eukaryota; Viridiplantae; Streptophyta; Magnoliopsida; Poales; Poaceae. The record is from RNAcentral.
AUGGUCCAGGAGCAGCACCUGGGCAUGGAGGUUUGCAGCAGCUCCUCCUGCGUGCCUCGUCUGGGUAGCAGGCAGGAACCCAAGGAGGCACCCUGGAGAGGACUUGAAGAUGGUGGCAUACAUCCAUCCAUCAGGCCUCGCACCAGGAGGCACCCAGAGGGAUCCAGAAGGAACGCCCCAGAAAUUGUGGCAGCGUUGGCAAGCUGA